AAUUUAGGAAUGGCGCCAUAAACGAAAGAGAGGAGCUAGAGGACGAAUUUUUGGCGCCAUUGACAAUUGAGAGGUGAGACUCGCGAGAGCCCUGAAAUUUUCAUUUGCCCAUUAACCAAAAUUUGAGCGCCAUAACCAAUCUAUCUCAACGAUGUCCCGUUCCCUUCUGAAACCUCACCUUCAUCCCUCUCCCUUUUUUCUCUCUCCUACUUUGCUCGUCCGUGGUAUCAAAGAUAACCCUCCUCUUCUGGAGGAUCCACCGGCGGAGAUCCCCAACGAUGUGAAGCCGUGCGCUGGUUGUGGUGGACCUUCGCCUGAGUUUGUUACCGAUAGGUGUACGUUCUUGAUUAUUCAAGGAAAAUCCAGAAGCUAAAUUUGCAGGUUUCACCACAUAGAGCUGUUGGUUUGCUGCUAUUGUUGAGUGACAGAUGCAGGGUUCCAGUUUAAAGAGUUGUUAGAUGUUCAGUCAGAUGGGAAGCUGUUGUUGCAACGGCUUGAAGUUGAGUGGCUGCCUUCCUUUUCUUGCUGUUAAUUCUUCUCCCUGCUAGUUGCUUAUUCUUGUUUGGAAUUCAGACUCUUAGGUAUGGCAUGCGAGCUAUUUAUAUUGCAAAGAGAAGCCCGCUGAUCCCACCAACUUUCGCAUCAGCUUUUGAUGAUUUGACAUCCUCCUCCCUUGAUGUUUUCUUUGAUCCUUCCAGCAGCUUGUUUAAUGUUCAAGGCCACUACCCCCACCAACUUAGGUAUGGCAUGCGAGCUAUUUCUGCAAAUCGUGAUAACAUGUAGCAAAGUGUUGGCAAUCAUUCAUUCUUUCAGGUCACCACAUGUUAGUAUGUGAGCUGGUAUUCAGACAAAACAUUGUGGUUGCUGAGGCGUCACCAACUACAGUUAUUUCUUACUUGAUGAUCGAAAUGCAAAGGAUGAAAACUUGCAUUAGAGUUUUCAACAGGUGAAAGAGAAGAGAUCAUCUGUUGAGCUGGCUGAAGGUUUCUCUAUGCUCUUGCAAAUUCUCUCUAGUGCGAAAAUUUUGGGUUUUCCAUGGAAGAAUUCGAAUCGUUAAUGGCGACAUCAGAUGUUGAGCUGCUCAAGAGAGCUUGGCGCAACGAAAAAUCUGCUCCAGAAAUUCUUCAAUUCCAGGCUCCUUUGGUUCAGAGAUCUCGCGAGCAAAUUCAAUUUAUGGUUGAACCGGUAAUCUUCCUCGUCCAAACAUCCAAGAGAGGCUCCCAGAAGAUCAGAAUCAGCAGCCACCUAUAAAUCGAUUCUUUGGAGACGAAGCAGACUGGUCAAGAAAGGAAUGUGUAGCUUACGGCUACCCAAUAAUAAUGUUUCGAGGAUCGACAUGCCUUUGAACUCCAGUAUUCCCCUGUUAUCUCUCACAUUUCCACAUCUGAAUGAGUUCUCAACUCCAACAUCUCCCUGUGAGCCUCCUGGUAAUGAGGGAUAGUGCAAUCUUGUUUGUUACUGAGGGUCACAAGGCUAAGAGAAAAAAUAUUGGUUGUCACUUGAUUGCUAUAGUCGAAUAUAAAGGUCAAAGAGGCAUGAGUUUGAAGCCAGAACCUCCCGAGCUUUGUGAUUCUUCAUCUGCAACAGACAUCAAAAUCACAUGUUUGGGGUGGCAAGACAGUGAAUAUUUCUUUGUGAGUUCUGACUUCUCAUAGCCCUGAUAUCCUGCUUUCAUGUUAGUGUUUUGUUGAUGUUUUAAUCCCCUCAAAUUUAUAAUUUAUAGUGAGGUGUCAUGUAGUUAGACUGAAUACAUUUGAAUCUGGUGUAAAAAACUAAUAUAAUGACAUAUCUACAAGUGUUUGAACAAAUUAGUUGUUGACAAGAAAAAAGUAAAACUAUAGUGCGGGAUUUUUUAUUUAAACAAGAGAUCUAUUCAACUCGAGGGAUCGGGGGCUUCUUUAGUCUCUUGCUCUGCGGGCUGCCUGGCUGCAUAAAUACGUGCUGGUGAGGACUGGAAAGUGCUGCAAAGGGCGCUAAAGCAUGCUUGAUGUGUGGAAAUUUCAGUUUGUAAAAGGCUAGUUUAUACGAAAGUUGACCUCAAUUGACUUUUUUAGUUUUUUGGUUGGUUUUUUUAGUUUUACAUAGGUAACUGGAGAUUUUUGUUGAACUGUUAUAUCAGAUAGAAAUUUUAAGUGUAAAACGGGCUAAUUGUUGAACUGUUAUAUCAGAUGGAAAAUUUAAGUGUAACACGGGCUAAUUCUUGAACUGUUAUAUUAGAUGGGCAAAUUUUAUGAGGUUUUCGAAAUGAAUGCACAUAUUUGUGUAAAAGAACUACCUGGGCAACAUUGUUCUCAUCAGUUAGCACAAAAAUUCUAGUUCGCACUCACUGAAGCACCCAGCAAGCCAUCUUAACUUUUCCUCAGGCUCUUCAAAACUUGAAUCUGCAGGAUGUCUCAUGUGGCAUAACUACUGAUAUAUCUGCUGGCACGAACAGGCCGACAUGAAAUGACCGCGGAACAUUUUUUCUUUCGUCCUUGGACGUUGGAUGUACAAUCAAUUAGUUGUUGUGUAUUGCUUGUGUGCUCUUUCCACUCAUGAAGCCGAUCCAACGUCAAAGGUCUGUCUUCCGUACAUCAUUGCUCGUUAUUCUGAUCAGUUAGGCUAGAUAAAAUUCUGGUUCGUAUGGGCUCACUUAAGAUAAUAAAAGACUAUGUAAACUAAUAUGUCACUACACUUUAUUUUUCUUCUUAAAACUACCUUGACACUAUACCAAUAAAAAGAGUCUAUUAGCUCAAUUGGCAGAGCUUUGUGCAAUUUCACAA
Long non-coding RNA from Spinacia oleracea (spinach), 2762 nucleotides. RefSeq lists it as uncharacterized. Lineage: Eukaryota; Viridiplantae; Streptophyta; Magnoliopsida; Caryophyllales; Amaranthaceae. The transcript is spliced from 8 exons. The record is from RefSeq and is a predicted model, not a curated record.